This is a long non-coding RNA of Poeciliopsis prolifica (blackstripe livebearer), 1439 nucleotides long. RefSeq lists it as uncharacterized. The transcript has 3 exons. The record is from RefSeq and is a predicted model, not a curated record. Lineage: Eukaryota; Metazoa; Chordata; Actinopteri; Cyprinodontiformes; Poeciliidae.
ACCAGACAGUCUCGCUUUGGAAACCUGGUUACAUAACCACUAACAUCCACACAGCCCGUUUGGGAAUCGGCCGCAUCAACCCCAACGCUGGAAACGGGAACGCUGCCACUUCCUUUUGUGUGAACAGGGAAGCUUAAGCAAAGCAAGCAGAGGAGUAAACCAGAGGGCAGCAGUAAGUGUGAAGCAGCAGCCCCUCCCAGACAGGACUGUCAAAGAGAAAAGUGCAGCUUCUGAGCCAGGCGAGGCAGCAAGGGGAAGAACUCAAGAGCAAAGGUAAAAGAUGACUUUCCGUCCUACUUUAGGACAGCGUCACACAACAACAAACCAACUGACUAGUUCUGCCAGACAAAACGCUCUGCAGGGGAACUGCUCCUGGGAACACACUGUAGCAUGCUCACACGGUCUCCACCCUGUCCUCCUCCUCCUCCUCCUCUUCUGUUGGCUCAGGAGCUUCUGACACUCAGUGUGGGCUGAGUGUCAGUGGGGAAACUGCUGAGACUCUCACAGCACAAUGGAUGCCAGAGAGGAGACAGUGGGUCUCCUGAACAAUGUCCUGCUCAAGCUUCAAGGUCUGCCCAGUGCCCACCCUCUGGAGCUGGGAGGCUUCUUUGUCCUCCUAAUCUUCAUCCUUAUGGUGACUCUCAUGAUGGUGCUCACAUGCGUGAGCUGCUGCUGCUGCUGCUGUAAAUCCAAACAAGACGAGCUCGACGUCUAAGGGAACAUUUCUCCUAUCCGACAGGAUUUUUCCUGCCGAUCUGUUCACCACAGUGCUUAGAAAUCGUCCCCGGGCUUCAGACACAAGCUGCACAGCGUGUGCACAAGAAAGGAGGCGGUGCCACAGCGCAACAAAACAAACUCUCGGAUUGCGUUCUAGACUAUCAAAGCACCUGUUAAUGCUACCAGGCUUUCAGGAGAAGCAGCAUUCCUUUGGAGCAUCCCCGUCUGCGGAGCAACAACAGCUCGUCUACCAGGAGGAGAAGGCAGGGCCGGUAACAACUGGCUGAUAAACAAAUACGCAGCAUCGAACAGGUUUACAGGUUUUUAAAAAACAAGAAGCUACUCAGUGCUAGAUGAGCAGAAAGCCAUAUUUGUUUGAGAAUGAUUUAUAUUGACCUUGUAUCAUUCCUCUGUGAGGAAUAUUAGAAUAGAAAGAUGUUGUUUUAACUUUAUAAGCAAGUGAAUACAGUGAACCCUCGCUAUGACGUGGUUCACCUUUCUCGGCCUCGCUGCUUCGCAGACUUUUUUUUUUUCAAGUGUUCAUUGAAAGAAGGGCAUAGAAAAGCAAGUCUGCCCCCUGCUGUUCUGAAAUUAGAAAUUGGAUAUUCAAAGAAGGGAAUAAUGUUUAUAUCUGAAACUGCUAAAUGAGCUCAAGUAUACUGAUGUGAGAUUUUUACUGCAUCAUAAUGUAGUGAAGUGAUUUUUAUACAAUAAAAAAGUUG